CCGGGGGCUGGCAGUCUGUGCAGAACAUUAGGUACUCACACUCUGGGGCCUGAGGUUGCUUGGCCUGGCUGCGCCUCCGGAACUGUGCAUGGAGGCACGGAGCAGGCUGUGCCAGCCUCAGGCUCUGCACUGUGGAGAGUGGCUUCAGCCGUCCGUGGCUCUCCUACAGGGAUUGCCGUGGGCCACAUUUACUACUUCCUAGAGGAUGUCUUCCCCAACCAGCCUGGAGGCAAGAGGCUGCUGCUGACCCCCAGCUUCCUGAAGCUGCUACUGGAUGCCCCACAGGAAGACCCCGAUUACCUGCCCCUCCCGGAGGAGCAGCCAGGACCCCUGCAGCAAUGACCCUACCCAGGGCCAGGGCCAGGGCCAGCCCCAGGCCUCUGGCAGGCCUCCAUUCCACCCCUAACUCCCGCUUACAGGAGAGCAACCUGUCCUGGACAUGGGGCUGGUGCCCAGGGCCCACCCAAAUAAACAAGAAUGACCUGCAUCUCUUUGCCCACA
Long non-coding RNA from Ailuropoda melanoleuca (giant panda), 501 nucleotides. RefSeq lists it as uncharacterized. The transcript is spliced from 2 exons. NCBI's taxonomy places the organism in Eukaryota, Metazoa, Chordata, Mammalia, Carnivora, Ursidae. The record is from RefSeq and is a predicted model, not a curated record.